UACGAAGGGGGCUAGCGUUGCUCGGAAUUACUGGGCGUAAAGCGCACGUAGGCGGAUUGUUAAGUCGGGUGUGAAAUCCUGGAGCUCAACUCCAGAACUGCCUUCGAUACUGGCGAUCUCGAGUUCGGGAGAGGUGAGUGGAACUGCGAGUGUAGAGGUGAAAUUCGUAGAUAUUCGCAAGAACACCAGUGGCGAAGGCGGCUCACUGGCCCGAUACUGACGCUGAGGUGCGAAAGCGUGGGGAGCAAACAGG
RNAcentral lists this ribosomal RNA (253 nucleotides) under uncultured bacterium. Its description in RNAcentral is "partial 16S ribosomal RNA". It matches the Rfam family "Bacterial small subunit ribosomal RNA", at positions 524 to 776 of the family's 1533-position model. The record is from RNAcentral.